RNAcentral lists this ribosomal RNA (765 nucleotides) under Acinetobacter sp. RNAcentral's name for it is "bacterial SSU rRNA". It matches the Rfam family "Bacterial small subunit ribosomal RNA", at positions 8 to 771 of the family's 1533-position model. The record is from RNAcentral. Lineage: Bacteria; Pseudomonadati; Pseudomonadota; Gammaproteobacteria; Moraxellales; Moraxellaceae.
AGAGUUUGAUCAUGGCUCAGAUUGAACGCUGGCGGCAGGCUUAACACAUGCAAGUCGAGCGGGGUGAGGUGCUUCGGUACUGAUCCUAGCGGCGGACGGGUGAGUAAUGCUUAGGAAUCUGCCAUUUAGUGGGGGACAACAUUCCGAAAGGGAUGCUAAUACCGCAUACGUCCUACGGGAGAAAGCAGGGGAUCUUCGGACCUUGCGCUAAAUGAUGAGCCUAAGUCGGAUUAGCUAGUUGGUGGGGUAAAGGCCUACCAAGGCGACGAUCUGUAGCGGGUCUGAGAGGAUGAUCCGCCACACUGGGACUGAGACACGGCCCAGACUCCUACGGGAGGCAGCAGUGGGGAAUAUUGGACAAUGGGCGGAAGCCUGAUCCAGCCAUGCCGCGUGUGUGAAGAAGGCCUUUUGGUUGUAAAGCACUUUAAGCGAGGAGGAGGCUACCUGGAUUAAUACUCUAGGAUAGUGGACGUUACUCGCAGAAUAAGCACCGGCUAACUCUGUGCCAGCAGCCGCGGUAAUACAGAGGGUGCGAGCGUUAAUCGGAUUUACUGGGCGUAAAGCGUGCGUAGGCGGCUGAUUAAGUCGGAUGUGAAAUCCCUGAGCUUAACUUAGGAAUUGCAUUCGAUACUGGUCAGCUAGAGUAUGGGAGAGGAUGGUAGAAUUCCAGGUGUAGCGGUGAAAUGCGUAGAGAUCUGGAGGAAUACCGAUGGCGAAGGCAGCCAUCGGCCUAAUACGACGCUCAGGUACGAAAGCAGGGAGCAU